This 540-nucleotide ribosomal RNA is filed under the name fungal sp. 3151. RNAcentral describes it as "eukaryotic LSU rRNA". The stretch from base 167 to 320 matches the Rfam family "5.8S ribosomal RNA". The record is from RNAcentral. Lineage: Eukaryota; Fungi.
CUUCACCGAGCCCACUCUCCAACCCUUUGUGUACCUACCUCUGUUGCUUUGGCGGGCCGCGGUUCUCCGCGGCCGGCCCCCUGAUCGGGGCUGGCCCGCGCCCGCCAGAGGACCACAAAACUCCAGUCAGUGAACUUUGCUGUCUGAUAUAAAUUCAAUAAACUAAAACUUUCAACAACGGAUCUCUUGGUUCUGGCAUCGAUGAAGAACGCAGCGAAAUGCGAUAAGUAAUGUGAAUUGCAGAAUUCAGUGAAUCAUCGAAUCUUUGAACGCACAUUGCGCCCUUUGGUAUUCCGAAGGGCAUGCCUGUUCGAGCGUCAUUACACCCCUCAAGCUCUGCUUGGUGUUGGGCAGCGUCCUCUCGGACGCGCCUCAAAGACCUCGGCGGUGGCGUCUUGCCUCAAGCGUAGUAGAAAACACCUCGCUUUGGAGGACGGGACGACCGCUCGCCGGACGAACCUUUGAAUUCAUUUUCCUAGGUUGACCUCGGAUCAGGUAGGGAUACCCGCUGAACUUAAGCAUAUCAAUAAGCGGAGGAAA